This 486-nucleotide ribosomal RNA is filed under the name uncultured bacterium. RNAcentral's name for it is "partial 16S ribosomal RNA". It matches the Rfam family "Bacterial small subunit ribosomal RNA", at positions 28 to 507 of the family's 1533-position model. The record is from RNAcentral.
GAUGAACGCUGGCGGCGUGCUUAACACAUGCAAGUCGAACGGAAAGGCCCAAGCUUUCUUGGGUACUCGAUUGGCGAACGGGUGAGUAACACGUGGGGGAUCUCCCCUUCACUUCGGGAGAAGCCUGGGAAACUGGGUCUAAUACCGGAUAGGACGAUUGUUUCGAUGCGAUUGUGGAAAGUUUUUUCGGUUUGGUAUGAGCUCUCGGCCCAUCAGCUUGUUGGUGGGGUAAUGGCCUACCAAGGCGUCGACGCGUAGCCGGCCGGCGAGGGGUAACGGCCCUGAGAGGACGUACAGCCGCACCAGGCUCCAACUGGGGGCAGGAGUACUGAAGGAGGCAGAAGGGGGGAAUACCGGACAAUGCGAGGAAGCGUGAUGGAGGGACGCCGCGUGGGCGAUGACGGCCUUUGGGUUGUAAGAUCCUUUCGCUAGGGACGAAGCGUUUUUGUGACGGUACCUGGAGAAGAAGCAACGGCUAACUACGUG